RNAcentral lists this non-coding RNA (32 nucleotides) under Homo sapiens (human). The record is from RNAcentral. Lineage: Eukaryota; Metazoa; Chordata; Mammalia; Primates; Hominidae.
UGGGGUCCCUCCCUUAAGUUUGCCUGAAGAGU